AGCAGCCGCGGUAAUUCCAGCUCCAAUAGCGUAUAUUAAAGUUGUUGCAGUUAAAAAGCUCGUAGUUGAAUUUCGGGAUCAAUGCGUCGGUCGUGCCUUCGGUACGUACUAGCGUCAUUGAUUCCUCCCUUCUGAAGAACCGUGAUGUCAUUAAUUUGGUGUUACGGGGAAUCAGGACUGUUACCUUGAAAAAAUUAGAGUGUUUAAAGCAGGCUAACGCUUGAAUACAUUAGCAUGGAAUAAUGAAAUAGGACGUUCGAACCUAUUUUGUUGGUUUCUAGGAUCGACGUAAUGAUUAAUAGGGAUAGUUGGGGGCAUUAGUAUUCAAUUGUCAGAGGUGAAAUUCUUGGAUUUAUUGAAGACUAACUACUGCGAAAGCAUUUGCCAAGGAUGUUUUCAUUAAUCAAGAACGAAAGUUAGGGGAUCGAAGACGAUCAGAUACCGUCGUAGUCUUAACCAUAAACUAUGCCGACUAGGGAUCGGAUGAUGUUAAUUUUUUAAUGACUCA
Molecule: ribosomal RNA, 508 nt
Filed under: uncultured Glomeraceae
Lineage: Eukaryota; Fungi; Glomeromycota; Glomeromycetes; Glomerales; Glomeraceae
Description: SSU rRNA
Rfam family: Eukaryotic small subunit ribosomal RNA
Source: RNAcentral